This 1294-nucleotide long non-coding RNA is filed under the name Salmo salar (Atlantic salmon). Its description in RNAcentral is "lncRNA (ENSSSAG00000103077.1)". The record is from RNAcentral. Lineage: Eukaryota; Metazoa; Chordata; Actinopteri; Salmoniformes; Salmonidae.
AAUUGCGCCAUGCUCGUGACCCUUAUUUACACUUCGGAUAGUGUCUUGAACGCACGAACAAAACGCCGCUAUUUGGAUAUAACGAGGGAUUAUUUUGGACCAAACCAACAUUUGUUAUUGAAGUAGCAGUCCUGGGAGUGCAUUCUGACGAAGACAACAAAGUGGUUUGCCUCCGACUGACUGAGAGCUCCAGCAGCAUUACCCCCUCAUAGACAACAUUUCAUCAUCUCACCACCAUCCACACACGCCUGGUCGUUUAUAACUAGUCAUUUAUUAAAGAAGCAAACGGAUGUGAGGAGGAGGGAGAGGGAAGAAGCUGUUUCCUCCUGACUGUAAAAGGAGUGAAAGGAGCUGUAUUGUUAGCCAGCGUGUCUUACAGCGGGGAUUAGUUCUGGACUGCUGUUGUGUUCUCUUUGCCAUGACCGUCCGGCUCCCCAGAAUGGAGCCGCUCCUACAGCCAGUUUCACUUUCAGCCCAUUCUCCAUCAGGAAACUGGCAACCGCGAGACACCCACUCACAAAAACACUGACACACAGGCAGCAGGGCUUUCUGCCGAUCCUGUACACACGUAUACACACACACACACUCCUGGCGAGUGGAGCCUCAGAUGGCAGAGGAACAACAGGAGGAUUAAAACUACUAUUCACCUCAAACACGCUGACAGGCAGCUAGGGGAUUAAUAUUGUUUGGGGGGGUGUGUGUGUGUGUGUGUGUGUGUGUGUGUGUGUGUGUGUGUGUGUGUGUGUGUGUGUGUGUGUGUGUGUGUGUGUGGACGUGUUUAACUAUUCUUGUGGGGACCAAAAGUUCCCACAAGAAUAGUAAACUAACAAAUAUUUGACCUAGUGGGGACAUUUUGUUAGUCCCCAAUAUUUCUAGCGGGUUUAGGGUUAAGGUUAGAAUUAGUGUUAGGGUUAGAAUUGCGUUAAGGGUUAGGAGUUAGGGUUCGUUUUAGGGUUAGGGUGUUAUGGUUAGGGUUAAGGUUAGGUUUUUGGGUUAGUGUUAGGGUAAGAGUGCAGGUUAGGUUUAGGGUUAGGGGUUAGGGAAAAUAGGAUUUUGAAUGGGACUGAAUUGUGUGUCCCACAAGGUUAGCUAUACAAGACCGCGUGUGUGUGUUGGUGGGGAAAAGGGCAGGGAGAUGAAAGGAGUGCUGCUUUCAAUUUCCUCUCAUGCAGUGAACACAAGACCACACAAUCACACGCAUGCAGGCACACACACACACACACACACACACACACACACACACAUUCCUUUGCAGAAUGCCCUCUCAACCUCUAUAUGUAAAGUCUCUCUGCAG